RNAcentral lists this transfer RNA (64 nucleotides) under Codonobdella sp. IK-2021. RNAcentral's name for it is "tRNA-Met". The record is from RNAcentral. RNAcentral also lists the same sequence under 1 other name. Lineage: Eukaryota; Metazoa; Annelida; Clitellata; Hirudinida; Piscicolidae.
AACUGAUAAGCUAAUUUAAGCUAGUGGGCUCAUAUCCCAAAAAUAAGAAAAUCUUUCAGUUUAU